UUCUAGUGAUCUUACUUCUUAAAAAAGAAGCACUCUAUCUGACUUUGAUCAGCCAUUAACUUAGGUUUCUGGUACUGACUCCCAACACCUGGCACCUUCUUAUUCUUUUUCUUCUUCUCUUUCUUAAAGGGAUGAUGACUAUCCAAAGAAGAUCCUCCCACUAAAUUUACUAUCUCUUUGUAGAGCUGGUGAUCCUUCUCAAAAGUCUGUAACCAC
Molecule: long non-coding RNA, 216 nt
Filed under: Elaeis guineensis (African oil palm)
Lineage: Eukaryota; Viridiplantae; Streptophyta; Magnoliopsida; Arecales; Arecaceae
Description: long non-coding RNA (EGUI_LNC061581)
Source: RNAcentral